AUUUUAACCACACCAACUACAUUUAAGUUGCCAGUCCUAAGUCUGAAUAAAGUGGGAAGGAAGC
Molecule: non-coding RNA, 64 nt
Organism: Acyrthosiphon pisum (pea aphid)
Lineage: Eukaryota; Metazoa; Arthropoda; Insecta; Hemiptera; Aphididae
Source: Rfam